RNAcentral lists this ribosomal RNA (253 nucleotides) under uncultured bacterium. RNAcentral describes it as "partial 16S ribosomal RNA". It matches the Rfam family "Bacterial small subunit ribosomal RNA", at positions 524 to 776 of the family's 1533-position model. The record is from RNAcentral.
UACGUAGGGUGCGAGCGUUGUCCGGAUUUAUUGGGCGUAAAGGGCUCGUAGGCGGCUUGUCGCGUCGGGAGUGAAAGCCCGCUGCUUAACGGCGGGUUUGCUUUCGGUACGGGCAGGCUGGAGUACGGCAGGGGAGACUGGAAUUCCUGGUGUAGCGGUGGAAUGCGCAGAUAUCAGGAAGAACACCCGUGGCUAAGGCGGCCCUCUAGUACGGUACUGACGCUGAGACGCGAAAGCGUGGGGAGCGAACAGG